AAUACAUUUUUCUUUUGCAAUCUGCAUCUGAAGCCAGCUAUCUUGCAGGCAGUACCGGUACGCAAGAACACUAGGAUCGUGGUGUAAUGGAAAUAUAUGUUGUUGCUACUAUAAUCAAGAAUUGGCUUCGCCCAGCAAAGUUUAGGAUUGAUGCAAGGAACAAUAGAAAAAUCAAGAAGGCCAUUUGGGAGAUGAAGAAGACCAGAAUUAUUU
Long non-coding RNA from Macrosteles quadrilineatus (aster leafhopper), 213 nucleotides. RefSeq lists it as uncharacterized. The transcript is spliced from 3 exons. NCBI's taxonomy places the organism in Eukaryota, Metazoa, Arthropoda, Insecta, Hemiptera, Cicadellidae. The record is from RefSeq and is a predicted model, not a curated record.